CUAGAGAUAGAAAGUUACUUCGGUGCAUCGGUGACAGGUGGUGUAUGGUUGUCGUCAGCUCGUGUCGUGAGAUGUUGGGUUAAGUCCCGCAACGAGCGCAACCCCUAUUGUUAGUUGCCAUCAUCCAGUUGGGCACUCUAGCGAGACUGCCGGUAAUAAACCGGAGGAAGGUGGGAUGACGUCAAAUCAUCAUGCCCCUUAUGACCUGGGCUACACACGUGCUACAAUGGUUGGUACAACGAGUUGCGAGUCGGUGACGGCGAGCUAAUCUCUUAAAGCCAAUCUCAGUUCGGAUUGUAGGCUGCAACUCGCCUACAUGAAGUCGGAAUCGCUAGUAAUCGCGGAUCAGCACGCCGCGGUGAAUACGUUCCCGGGCCUU
RNAcentral lists this ribosomal RNA (379 nucleotides) under uncultured Streptococcus sp. RNAcentral's name for it is "bacterial SSU rRNA". It matches the Rfam family "Bacterial small subunit ribosomal RNA", at positions 1000 to 1382 of the family's 1533-position model. Lineage: Bacteria; Bacillati; Bacillota; Bacilli; Lactobacillales; Streptococcaceae. The record is from RNAcentral.